RNAcentral lists this ribosomal RNA (825 nucleotides) under uncultured bacterium. Its description in RNAcentral is "bacterial SSU rRNA". It matches the Rfam family "Bacterial small subunit ribosomal RNA", at positions 23 to 896 of the family's 1533-position model. The record is from RNAcentral.
AUUGAAGUGACCGCUUGGCGCGUGUUUAAACAUGCAGUCGAACGAACCUUAGGGUUAGUGGCGGACGGGUGAGUAACGCGUGAGAAUCUGCCCUCAGGAGGGGGAUAACGGUUGGAAACGACCGCUAAUACCCCAUAUGCCUACUGGUGAAAUGAAUUUCGCCUGAGGAUGAGCUCGCGUCUGAUUAGCUAGUUGGUGAGGUAAUGGCUCACCAAGGCUUCGAUCAGUAGCUGGUCUGAGAGGAUGAUCAGCCACACUGGGACUGAGACACGGCCCAGACUCCUACGGGAGGCAGCAGUGGGGAAUUUUCCGCAAUGGGCGAAAGCCUGACGGAGCAACGCCGCGUGAGGGACGAAGGCCUCUGGGCUGUAAACCUCUUUUCUCAAGGAAGAAGAUAUGACGGUACUUGAGGAAUAAGCCACGGCUAAUUCCGUGCCAGCAGCCGCGGUAAUACGGGAGUGGCAAGCGUUAUCCGGAAUUAUUGGGCGUAAAGCGUCCGCAGGCGGCUUUUCAAGUCUGCUGUUAAAGCGUGGAGCUUAACUCCAUCAUGGCAGUGGAAACUGAAAGGCUUGAGUAUGGUAGGGGCAGAGGGAAUUCCCGGUGUAGCGGUGAAAUGCGUAGAUAUCGGGAAGAACACCAGUGGCGAAGGCGCUCUGCUGGGCCAUUACUGACGCUCAUGGACGAAAGCCAGGGGAGCGAAAGGGAUUAGAUACCCCUGUAGUCCUGGCCGUAAACGAUGAACACUAGGUGUCGGGGGAAUCGACCCCUUCGGUGUCGUAGCUAACGCGUUAAGUGUUCCGCCUGGGGAGUACGCACGCAAGUGUG